Molecule: ribosomal RNA, 492 nt
Filed under: Mychothenus tropicalis
Lineage: Eukaryota; Metazoa; Arthropoda; Insecta; Coleoptera; Endomychidae
Description: partial 16S ribosomal RNA
Rfam family: Archaeal large subunit ribosomal RNA (bases 366-492)
Source: RNAcentral
GUCUUUUUGAAAAUAAUUUAAAGUCUAAUCUGCCAAGUGAUGUAUUUAACGGCUGCAGUAUUUUGACUGUACAAAGGUAGCAUAAUCAAUAGAUUUAUAAUUGAAAUCUGGAAUGAAUGAUUGAAUGAAAAAUUGACUGUUUCAAUUUAAUUGAUGUAAAACUUUAUUUUUAAGUUAAAAAGCUUAAAUUUAAUUUAAAGACGAGAAGACCCUAUAGAAUUUUAUAAAUUUGUUGGUUAAAAUUAAUAAAUUUAUUUGAUUGGGGUGAUUUUAAAAUUUAAAAAACUUUUAAAUAAAAUUUUCAUUUAUUUAUGUAUAAUUGAUCCAAUAUAAAUAUAUUGAUUAAUAGAAUAAAUUACCUUAGGGAUAACAGCGUAAUUUUUUUGGAAAGUUCUUAUUGAUAAAAAAGAUUGCGACCUCGAUGUUGGAUUAAAAUUAAAUUAAGGUGUAGAAGCUUUAAUAUUUAGUCUGUUCGACUAUUUAAAUUUUACA